Molecule: ribosomal RNA, 427 nt
Filed under: uncultured bacterium
Lineage: Bacteria
Description: partial 16S ribosomal RNA
Rfam family: Bacterial small subunit ribosomal RNA
Source: RNAcentral
UGGGGAAUAUUGCACAAUGGGCGCAAGCCUGAUGCAGCCAUGCCGCGUGUAUGAAGAAGGCCUUCGGGUUGUAAAGUACUUUCAGCGGGGAGGAAGGUGUUGAGGCUAAUAACCUCAGCAAUUGACGUUACCCGCAGAAGAAGCACCGGCUAACUCCGUGCCAGCAGCCGCGGUAAUACGGAGGGUGCAAGCGUUAAUCGGAAUUACCGGGCGUAAAGCGCACGCAGGCGGUCUGUCAAGUCGGAUGUGAAAUCCCCGGGCUCAACCUGGGAACUGCAUUCGAAACUGGCAGGCUAGAGUCUUGUAGAGGGGGGUAGAAUUCCAGGUGUAGCGGUGAAAUGCGUAGAGAUCUGGAGGAAUACCGGUGGCGAAGGCGGCCCCCUGGACAAAGACUGACGCUCAGGUGCGAAAGCGUGGGGAGCAAACA